Long non-coding RNA from Paramisgurnus dabryanus, 493 nucleotides. RefSeq lists it as uncharacterized. Lineage: Eukaryota; Metazoa; Chordata; Actinopteri; Cypriniformes; Cobitidae. The record is from RefSeq and is a predicted model, not a curated record.
CAAGGGGAAAGGUUGGGAAGUGGAAAUGUUCCACUGUACCGCACUGCUUCCAACAGGAUGGCAAUUCAUGUGGGGUAUUUGUCUGUAAAUUUGCAGAAGCUAUUCUCACAGGUGGCAGUUUGCAGUUUGCAAGCACAGCAGACAACAUUGCUUUGCUACGCCAACAAAUAGGCCUCUGUCUGCUUCAAGGAAGUGAUGACCUGUCAGAAUUAUGUUUGACAUGUGGAGACCAACAUUCUUUCACAGAGGACAUUGAGGACUGUUGGAUUCAGUGUGACUGUUGCAGUGGAUGGUUCCACUGGGAAUGUGUAAACCAACCCAGUCUUUCUGAAAUAUUUAUUUGUCACGGAUGCAGAUUUUGAUUUUGGUUUAAUGGUUUUGUGUUACUAGAGUCAUUUUUGUUUGGCAUUGAUGGCAAUUUUGAAAUUACUUGAAGCUUUAUUUUGUAAUAUGGAUGUGUGAUUGUAUUUAAUCAAUAAAUACAAGAAGUUCA